GACGAACCGAGCGAACGUUGUUCGGAAUCACUGGGCUUAAAGGGCGCGUAGGCGGCUCGGUAAGUAGGGGGUGAAAUCCUGCGGCUCAACCGUGUGGUCUGCAGUCGAUACGGGCAGGCUAGAGUUCGGUAGGGGAGACUGGAAUUCCUGGUGUAGCGGUGAAAUGCGCAGAUAUCAGGAGGAACACCGAUGGCGAAGGCAGGUCUCUGGGCAUUAACUGACGCUGAGGAGCGAAAGCAUGGGGAGCGAACAGG
RNAcentral lists this ribosomal RNA (254 nucleotides) under uncultured bacterium. RNAcentral's name for it is "partial 16S ribosomal RNA". It matches the Rfam family "Bacterial small subunit ribosomal RNA", at positions 524 to 776 of the family's 1533-position model. The record is from RNAcentral.